This 497-nucleotide ribosomal RNA is filed under the name uncultured bacterium. RNAcentral's name for it is "partial 16S ribosomal RNA". It matches the Rfam family "Bacterial small subunit ribosomal RNA", at positions 28 to 507 of the family's 1533-position model. The record is from RNAcentral.
GAUGAACGCUGGCGGCGUGCCUAAUACAUGCAAGUCGAGCGAACAGACGAGGAGCUUGCUCCUCUGACGUUAGCGGCGGACGGGUGAGUAACACGUGGAUAACCUACCUCUAAGACUUGGAUAACUUCGGGAAACCGGAGCUACUACCGGAUAAUAUAUUGAACCGCAUGGUUCAAUAGUUAAAGACGGUUUUGCUGUCACUUAUAGAUGGAUCCGCGCCGCAUUAGCUAGUUGGUAAGGUAACGGCUUACCAAGGCAACGAUGCGUAGCCGACCUGAGCGGGUGAUCGGCCACACGGGAACUGAGACACGGCACAGACACUGACGGGGGGCAGCAGUAGGGAAUCUUCCGCAAGGGGCGAAAGCCGAACGGAGCAACGCCGCGGGAGUGAUGAAGGUCUUCGGAUGGUAAAACGCUGUUAUUAGGGAAGAACAAAUGUGUAAGUAACUAUGCACGUCUUGACGGUACCGAAUCAGAAAGCCACGGCUAACUGCGUG